AUAGGCAGUGUGGGAUGCUGGACUUUUAAGGAUGCUUGGCGUCCAGUGGGACGGAGCAGGUCAGCUUGAGAUGCCUUUGCACUGCUUGUGAGUUCUUUUUUUUGGUAUUCUCCUCUUAGGAUUUUGGACUGUGGAUGACUCCAGUUAACCAGAACAGUGGGAAAUGAAACUAUGAGUAAGGAACAUGGUACCUCCAGGAUUCUUUUCUGCUGGUGUGACAAAAUACCAUAAGCAAGCAGAAUGACUGUACCUAUGGCCAUAACGAUGGAUGUUGUCACCGUUUUCCAAGAAUGUCUCAGCAACCACUCCAGCACACACUCCCUGGGCAUCUGUAGCUGACUGAAUGUGGAGUAUCUUGACCAUGAGCCAGGCAGAGAAGCCCCGAAGGAGACUUCGCCAUUCCACAUUCCUCAAGGGACACUGAGAGACCUCCGGGGGCAGAGUGUGUCCAGUCUUCCACCAAGCGCUUGCAGAACACGAGAACGUUCCAGCUCUGGCCAUGGUGCAUUCUGGAAGAGCUUGCUUGGGCUUCUGUUGUCUUCGAGCUCCUGGGAUUCUCAGGUUGGAUUCAUAGCUGCUCCUUCCCACUGAGUAAGCACCGAGGUGACCCCAGCACAGACAUUCACCACGCCUAGGACUACUCUGUUCACUCCACUUCCCUUCGGCUUGGAUUUCUUCACGCACUGCUUAACGUCUGUAAGAAGCAAGGACAUCCUGAUUAAGUUCCUGAUUAGUGCUUUUUGACAGUGGGGCCAAAGUUAACCCACCACACAGUCCAAUCACCACUUCCAUUUAAUUGCAAACAAUUCCCUUGUUCUAAAAGAAAACUUCCCAGUCUUUAAGUCUUUAAGUGCCUGUGGUUUAAAAAUGGCUGGCCCUUUCCAAAACUGAUUAGCAUUAUGAUGGUGUUGGGAGCCAGGCAGAGGAGGUGAAGAGGUCACUAGGAGAGAUGAGACCUUUCCUGUGGGCGUAAGUUUGCUCUUACCACAGUUGAUCAUAAAGCAAGCCUGAUUCCAUGUGUCUUGUCUCUCCCACAUGUGCCCACUCAGCCUUCUGUCAGAAGCUCCUCACCAGACAUGACUACCUGAUAGAAGCUUCCAGAACCAUGAGUAAUUAAACUUUCCCUUGUGAAUGAGCUCAUCUUCAGUGCCAUGUUAUAACAACAGGAAAGAGAGUCGUUCCCCACUGCUACUCUCUGGGUCCUGGCAGCCCACACUCUUCUGUCUUUCUCUACAGAUUUGCCUAAUCUGGAUAUUUUAAGGAGUCGUAUGCUAUGUGACUUAUUGUGUCUGGCUUCUUGCACCCCGAAUAGUAUUUUGAGUUUCCCCCAUCCCGUAGCAUUCUGUUUGGGAGUUUGAUGGAUUGACUGGCAUAGAGUUUGGACCAGCAGAAGCUGGAACACUAAGGUUCCCCUGACAUGUGCAGACAGAAAUGUCCCAGGUCUCUGGCGAGUACACAAUGGCAAACCCCCGCCCAGAAAGCCAACAUACUGUGGAACCAACACUACAUUCCAGCAGCCCUGGGACCUGGGCACCGGCUGCUUCUCUCCAGUGAUACUCUCCCAGAAUAGACAGGGGUGUCAGUCAACAUGAAAAUAACCCUGGCAGAGAGCCCCAUGCCAGACAGAUACCACAAACACAAGUGCCAAGGUACAUGGAGGCAGGGAGGGGGCUCUAAAUUAAAUCCUGGGCUUGAGUUCUAUUGACCUGGGUCUGGCUGACCUGUCAAUUCUGCCUCUUUGAAUGCACAACCCUGGCUUGGCAGGUGAUGGGUGAGAAGGGCCUUGGGGAGGGCGAAGUAGAGAAGCUGCCAAAAAAAAAAAAAAAAAGGAGGCGUGACUGCCCACACCUGGGUACUGAGUCCAGGCUGAAAGGGAAGAAACAGAGAAGCAAAAGGGUGGAUUUCAGCUUCUUUAAGGGAACUCAGAAGCGUGGCUUGACUGCCUCAAGGAGAGAACCCCAGCAACACCAUGUGUUCAUUGGUUAUUGACAACAGAGGCAAUCGGAGCCAUGAGAGAGUGUCAAGCUACAUGAACAUCACUAUCAAACCUCCACCAGCCCAACCUUGCUUUCUUCUCUUCAGAAAAGUGUGACAAUUCCUUAACAUUGCAUCGCUAUCCCCGGGGUGCUUUAGGCUUGGGGUCAGGAUGAUGCUGGUCCCAGCUGUGUGCUUUCCAUAAAGCUGUGUAACUCUCCUCUCUGACUCCCGUUAUUCUCCCUUUAGAAUGGGAGCAGCGACCCCAGUUAACUCUGGGAGCUGCUGCAUGGAUUGAAGCGCAUACAAGAUACCAGCACUUACAGAGGCUCUGUGAAGCUUGUCCCCUUUGGUGGCUUGGGGCUGGCUCAGCUGGUAUGGUGUUUGCUGCACAAGCAUGGGGACCCGAGUUCAAUCCCCGGAACCCACGUUAUAAUCCAUCAAUCAAUAAAUAAAUCUGUGUGUUGUGAUGCAUGAUGGGUAAUUUCAGUACCAAGGAACAAAAGCGGGUCUGGCACUUGCUGACCUGGUAACCUAGCCCAGUUGGUAAGGUCCAGGCCAGCAAGAGACUGUCUCAGGAAAAGCAAACAAUAACAAUAGCAAAACCCAAGGUGAAUGGCUCCAAGGAACAGUAUCCAAGGCUGACCUCCUUCCUGGGCAGGCACACACACCACACACACUUGCCCUUGUCUUUCUUCCUUCCUCCUAUAAACAUGACCAAAGAAACAGACCUUUAUCUGAACUAACCCGGUAGUCCCAUCAGUGACAGAGUAGCAGCCCUGAGGAUACAACAUAACCGGAAAGCAAAGGGAUAGUACAGGUCAAUGCCUUGUGUGUGAGAGAACUUCAUAACGUCAUCUGAACAGCAUCUUCUGCCAUCUCUGAAAAGCCUCAUCUCUAACUAUGAUUGGUAAAUGGUGUUCCAUCCGGAACCUUCUAGCUUGGCACCGAUGUGCUACGACAAAAUGAUGUACCUGCAAGUCUUGGCCUCCCUCUGCCAACCUACUGUGAGGACUGUCCAUACACUACCAUUUGAGUACCACACUGUAGUUAGUGUAUGGUGGAUGCUUGCUCUCUCACAGCCUGUGCUAAGAUUUUUGCACUGAAAUUCUCAUUUUCCAUAACUGGAGAAAUAGUUUAUAUGAGUAUCCUAACAGACGAGAGACGCUAAACUCAGAGAGAGGAGAGAACACAUUUGCCCAAGGUUUCAAGAGAGCAAGAGUAGGGCUUUUGCCCAUGCAGUGGGGCAUCUGAGUCACUAGUCAGAAUCUCAAACCCUUUGCAAAUCAGACAUGAAAUGAUCAGUAGCAUUGAUAACCUACAAGGAACUCAGACAAGUCAACGCCAAAAAAAUAAUCAAGCUGACUGGAAAUGGGCAGAGAAGCCAAAUGCGCAUUUCUCUGAGGAAGAUACACAAAUAGCCAACAGACUGCCAGCACCAGUAAUCAUGAGAAUUCAGGUUACAGUCCCAAUGAGGUGACAUUCACAACUGAAACAGUGGCCUACACACACACACACACACACACACACACACACACACACACACACACACACGGCACCAGCAGAGAAGGUACAGAAGAGAAGGACCUUGUCUGGGUUUUUUAAUGGGGAUGCAAAUUAGUACAGCCAUUCUGGAAAAUCAUGGGAUCCCUCCAAAAAAUAAAAUGAGCCUGCCAUGGGAACCAGUCCCACCCUUGUAAUGCACCCAAAAAAAAUAGAAUCAGUAUGGAAAAGAGACCCCCCACACACCAAGUCCAUGUGGCACUCAAGGGAGGAACGCUGAAGCAGAGGCCAUGGAGGAGCACUGCUUAGUUGCUCGCUCUCUCUUCUAUGCUGGUAAACUUGCCCUCCAAUACAAUCCAUGCCACUAGCCUAGGGGUUGCGCCGCCCAUGGUGGUCUGGCCCCUCCCAUUCCAGUCAAUCAUCAAUCAAUUGAAUGCCUCUAGAGUCUUGCUUAUGGGACACUGAUGGAGGCAAUGCCACAACUGACAGGUGACAGAGCUUCUUCCCAGAUGGCCCCAACCUCUCUCAGGAUGACAAAACACUAACUGUCACAGCUGGUAGUCAGUGUGUUCUUUCAGUCCAAGUAUGGACUGCUAAGAUCCAGCCUGCCCUUAUCACCAGGAACUGCCAACGUUCAGAGAUCAAUGCUUUUUGUUUUUAAUUGUUCUAGACUUAAGGAUAUAGAAAAGUGCAUGUGCACCUGUGUGUGUGCGUGUGUGUGUGUGUGUGUGUGUGUGUGUGUGUGUGUGUGUGUGUGUGUUAGAGCUGCAGUUAAUACUAAAUAUGGCCGAAGGAAGAAUACCUUAAGUGCUCUGUAAUAGGUGCAGCUUGAAGAAGACAAUGAUUAACUUUGUUUUCAGAGGCCUUCAGUGAUGGGAUGCCCGCGCCUACGUUGGCUCCUCACAAAAGGGAAGGACUCAUCUAGUUAAAAGAGUGAGAGGAGUUGGGCAGAGUCCUGGCAGAGUUCAGCCAGUUCGAGAAGCGAAUUCAGAGCUAGAAUAUGGGCCCCUCAUGCCCCCUGUGGCUGGCCCUUGCUCCCACCCUCCAGCCAGUUCACCUGAACAGCUUCCAAGUGCUCUCGGCUGUGUCACGUUGCCCCAAGAACCUUGGAAGGGGAACUCAGAAACCAGACAAGGACUUAUUGGAGGGAAUGGAGAAUAUAGAGUUUUUGGAGAUUCCCAGACCUCCACAGGGCUGCAUAGCUUGCUCUGUGAGCCUGCCAGGAUGACCUCGCACAUCUCCAACGUUUCUGUGGCACCGCUCCAUGGAAACUGAGGGUGGAGAAGGUUCUUGGCAAGGAACACCAUGGUCUGGUACAUCUCAUAAUUUCCCUCAGAGGCCUCCUUGGGUGUGCUGUCUGUCACAGACAAAGAUGUCCAUGGGGUCCCCAUCAGCACAGUCUGCCUCUGACUUGUUUUCCCAAAAGUGCGGCUGGAUUUGCUCAGUGCCAUCUGCACAGUCUCACCGGCCACCCCGCCCGCCAUCUGUUUAUAGGCUGUCAGACAGCUGGCUACGGCACGGGGGACACUGUGUGACUAUAGAAUGUACAACAACCACUGGCUCCAACGAGAGGGAGCCCGGGGCUUUUACCUCACUUGCCCUGGGAUCCCAAUGGAACAUCCACCAUGAGCUUGGCCCACAGUGACACCCCCGACUGUGGUGUUACUGCCAUGGUGGGAUCCCACUGCUUCAUCUUGUAGCAGCCCUGCAGGUGGGGUUACUUGUUUUGACAGUUAAAGAAGCUAAGGUUCCAAGAUGUGUUGUCAAUUGGCCAAGGGCCACAGCCAAGUGACAGAGCUGGCAACGGAGCUUCUGUUUCUCAGAUUCCAGAAGCACAGGGUCCCCCAGAAGAAAAGAACCCACUCCCCUCUCACUGGUCUUCAAGGCCCUUCGGGCUCCUAUUCUGAUCUAUCAAUCUGGCCUGGGGUCCUGUCUUCCUUCAGGUCUAUUCCACAUGUGCGGCCCCCGUGUGGCCUCUCCAGCUUCCAGGUCAUGACCUCUGCAUUCUCCCCACCCAGUUCUUGGAGUCCUUUACAGGGACAGGGCUGUCGUCUGACAGAGUCAGCAAAGACACCCUUUUUUUGGCAUCUCAGUGUCCCCUCAGUUUAGUGUCAUUAGAUCCCACGGCUGCCUGAUCUUGUUUCUCUAACACCACCCACUCGUCAUCCAGCCUUAUAGGAAAAGGCGUUUAAGGUUGUUUCUCUGGGUGUUCCCUUCCUUCCGAAGGCCCCUGGGACCACAGUCCACAUUGUUAAGGAGCCUGAUCACUACUCAAGAGUCACAGAUGCCCAGGGAUGCUGCACAGGGUCCCCUCUAACCCUGCUACCCUGUUCCCCACCUUCCACUAUGGAGGAAGACAUUGAGGGUAGGCCCCCUGCUGGGUGCGUAUUUGUGAAUCGGAAACAUCUACUUGUAUGCACUACACACAUCCCUGGGAUCCAGCUGCACUUCUGGUGGCCUUUGCCUGCCUACUUUCUACCGUUUCCUGGCCUGCUCUGUGUCCAGGCCCAUCCCCUCCUCAUGUGGCAGUGCUUCCAUUCCCAUGGUUUCAAGAGGUCAAAGGACAGAAAAAGAAAAGGCCAAGCUAUUUAGUGCCCCUUGCCAGGGCCAGCUCAGUGUCACCUCCCCAUAGUCUUCAGAGAGGCCUGACUUGCUUGAGGCCACAAGUCUUACCUGGUCCUUCUCGAACGCAACCCUUGUUGGACUCCAGUAGCACUGGCCCUUUCCUGGUCUCUGAGGCCUAAGUGUGACAGCCCCCCCUACCACCAUCUCGUGGCGCUUCAGCUACUUUCCUUGGCACCUUGCAGCCCCCUGCCUGUCUGUACCUGACAUGAUUGCUGUGUCUUUCUGCAUUUUUUGAGGGCGCCUCUGGCUUGCUCUGAGAGGCCAUACUGUUCAAGGAUGUCUCCGUCUCUCAGCACUGUCGUCUGCACCCCUUAGUAUUGGUAUCAAGGAUCUGUUCCCAAAGAGUGCGGGAUGGUCUCGAGAGGGUUAUCACCCAACGUUAGAGCAAUGAGAGGCAAAUGCUGCGGUAGUAAGGGCCACAUCUGGCAGGGUUAGAGGCAGUGACAGGCUGACCUACGCACCAGUGAUGCGUAGACCUUGCAAAGGCUGCGGGUCCCUGGUCCCGUGUUAGACUGCAGUUGUUGGCACCUGUGUUAGACUGCAGUUGUUGGCACCUGUGUCCCGUUGUCACACACCCAGAUCGCAUCAGAGCCUUACUACUUCAAACAGCAUCGCACGACAGAUUUCCCCCUUCCUCUUUGUCCUCACAGAGGAAGCUCCCAGGGUGAAAUAGUGGUUUGAUUCCAUGCAGAGGGAGUCAACUGGCCCCAGGACACCCAGGCAGGGAGCAUCCUGUUUGCCCUCUGAGGACCUAAGGAGAACACAGAGAAGGCUUGGCACCGGCUGAGUGCUUCCUGGAACCAUAGCCCUUCUCGCAGGCCUUCUUGGUUUAUUUAAAGUGGCAAUAACAGGGUGUGCCCGCCAUCACCUCCCAUACCCACCUUGACCGUCUUGCUCCCAAAGGGCCUUGGAAUCCGUACAAGAAUGUUCCAUCAAAUACCAGGCGGAGUUGUUAAAGUGUGAUCCAGGACAAAAGCCUGGAAGUCAUUAUUACUCUUUCAACUUUUCCUGGUGACUCUGAGGUGGGAAAUAUCGAAAGAGCACGUACUGUGGAGAGGCAGGCCAACAUCAGGGAAAUGGGAAAGCAUGAGGUGAGCCCUCACCUCAAGGUGCUUGGACUCUCGCUGGGGAGGGGAGAGGAAAGGGCCUCCAUGUCUGCCAAGAGACCUGUUCCUUCAGAAUCUCCUGGAGGAGUUGCAGAAUAGAAGCUCUCUGAGCCCUCCCUAGGACUGGGGUUCAACAAGCCUGGGGCAGGAGCUGAGAUUCCAGAGUAUUCAAAGCCCCUCAGGCAGAUUUUCCCCAGGGCUGUAGCUGUAACAGGUGUUUGCCCCAGCCUAUAACAUGACCACGGGGUAAUGGAAGGUGGCAAACGGGCAAGGCCAAGGGCUGAACUUGGCAUUCUGUGAGGUCCACAUUGCGGCCUUGUACAUCAAAGUCGGUUGGGUGGGAAUCUAACCAGUCCCUGAAAAUCGAGAGCUCUCAUCAAAUCCAGAUUUCCUCCUUUGCUGUGGUUUGAAUGCACCACCACCCCCCAAAACCCAUACAAUGUAAUUUUUUUUUUGUGGUGUAUUAAGAGGGCGGGAACUUAAUCAGAGCACAAAACUUGGGAAUGGGACCUCUGGGAGAUGAUAGAGGUUCAAUGAGGCCACAAGGACAGGACCUACUCUGGAAGAGUGGUGGCUUUGCAAGAGUAAUGGGAGGAAUCUGGCUGGGACAUUCUGUUACCACUUGGUGCUCUGCACUGCCUGGGGACUUUGUUGGGAGUCCCCACCAGCAAAGGGGAUCUUACUGGGUAUAGCUUCCCCAUCCUGGUCCCGGAGCUGCCAGCACUUCAGAACAGUGAGCUCAGUUGGUCUCCCCUCUACAGAUGUCUCCAUCUGGGAUGAGUCACAGCGACAGAAAACACAGACGGAGACAUCUCAUUUCGAAAAUCCCUCCAACUCACAGCAGGGCGGGGUGGCACAUGGAGCGAGCAUUCUCCAGUUGCGUGUAGUCUCCUGCCUCUCCCCCACACCCCCCCCCCCGUGUCUUUCUCUCUUAAUAGUUUCGAUCUUCUGCCACCAGUGGGUUAGCGCUGCCUUGUGCUUGCAGACCUGCAGGGCAAUGAGUCACUUCCUUCUUACAUACAGCAAAGGGCAAAAAGAAAUAGAAGACGGAAGAAGUCUGUGCUGUUUGUAGUAAGAGAACGUGCAGUUUAAUUAAUAAGCGGAUCGGGUUCUUGGAGGAAGCCAGUUGCUUUCACACACUUCCGUGUCCAGCCCUGCUAACCAAGCACCAGCACCCAGAACACGGAUGAUGGGGAGCCAGGCCUGGAUUCACCGAGCCCCUCUGCCUCUAACUCAUUGUGUAACUUCUAGAUUUCACUUGAGGAACUUCUUGCCUUCCCACCACAGGGACAGGCACUAUUGACUGCCAUAGGGGCAGGAGGGAAUGCUGACAUUGAAUAUGAAGUCGAGGGUGCUGAUGAUCCAUAAUGUCUAAGGCAGUCCCAGGACAGAGAAUUCCUGCUGCUGACUUCAGUGAUGCUGAGCUUGAGAACCAAGAAGGUCCUUGCUACUGCUGUGCCAUCUGUAGCCUCACCCUAGAUAAAUGAACCCUGGGAAUGCGCGUGCGCACAUGCACACACACAUACAUCUUCAAUCUGCAGGAUCGCAAGGCCAUAGGAACGGGUAUAUUUCUGAAGGGUUAGUAGAAUAGGAGGCAGGGAGGGGACACUGUAGUCAUAAGAACAGAAGAUGGCAGAGAAGAAUACAGAGCCACAUCACAGGAGUGUCCUGGGCAAGGGUAGGAGCCUGGUAUGCUGAGGAGUCUGAGGUGCUACAGAGCUCUGCCUGGGAAGAUUAAGCUCCUGCAAUUAGAGUGGAAUUCUGGGAGCACAGGGUGGUAUGGAAAUGAGUGUUGCUGUUAAUGAAUAUUGCAACUUUGUCUCCUUUCCAGGCAUGACAGGACUGCAAAGUCCUAUGCAGGUAAAGCCAGGGCUGGCCUUGCUUUAGUCAUGCGCUAACAAAUGAUCAAGACAGUGAGCAGUCACUGCUGGGUGGAAGUGUUACACGCCAGUGCAUGCCCAUGGCAUUCUGUCCCUUCUGAUACAGGCACCCUGCCUGUGUCUACCCGAACCACAAGAAUGAGUUGAGAUCUUGCCAACCCAUAGCAUACAUAAACAUGAAAUAACCUCUAUUUUAAGAUGCUGUUUGUUUCUCUAAUAGAACCUGGCUGUCCUGAGGAGAUGGAAAUCACGGGUGACCUCAGUGUAGAGAGCGCACAGGGAGGAUGUUACAUUGUAUCCUCUCCCUUAGAAACACUCCUCCCUUUCACUAUCAGGACUGCCCCCCCCCAGUCAGUGUGAAGCUGGAGUAAUCGCACCCCUUCCUCAGGAGGUCCUGUGCCAAGUGGGAACAGGUCCAAGUUUCAGUAGUUAGCUAAAAAUUCACGGGGUAGUUUAGAAACUGAAUUUAAUUUUAGGGUUGCCUUCUAUUUAUAGAAAAAUGAUUAUAGUUUUCCAUUUGUGGGGGUGAUAUAAAAUGUAAAAAAAAUGUAACUAAAGAAAGGGUCAUUCUGAAGACUUAUAUGAAGUCAAUAAAAAACAGGGAGGAGGGGGGGGGCUGCUUACAGCAAAAACUCACAAGGCUGGUUUCCAAAUGACUGACUUGAGGGACAGAGCUCAGAUCUAUUGCAGAAGCAGGAACUUCCUACAAGGACAGCCAGAGAGUCCUGACCAUAGCCAUGAAACAUUAGUAGGGUUUGGGGGGAUUUUCCCGAUGACCUGGUGACAGCUGUAGUUAGUGUCAGAGAGGCACAGAACAGAAUCACGUCUCUGAGCCAUCCCGCGCCUGGAUCUGUGGAAGCCCAAUUUCUGUUUGUCAAAUAAGCGAUCUGUUAGGAGGAGUUGGUAGACUCACAGCCCCCCUAGGGGCCGAGCGGCAAUCAGGAAAUACAGGGUCUGAUCUGUGUCCUGACAAGGGAACAGAGUAGGAGUUACCAGGCUCUGUACAAGUCAGUCAUGUGGGGACUGAGGGAUUAGAGGGGACAUCCUUAGCCAACGAGGAGGUGAGGAGGCCGUGUGUGUGUGUCUGUCUGUCUCUGUCUGUGUUUUCUACACACAUGUGUUGGACAGGCAUUUGGAAAGGACAACAGAAGGCAGACACAUCUGAUCUUUAAGCUGAUCUCCUAAGGUGUGCAGUGUAAAUAACCCCCACCUCCCAUGACAGAGUCCCACUCCUGCACAGUGCAGCUCCCUGUGGAGAUGUUGGGAAGGCAGGGGCUUCUCAGAGCAUGUUAUCGUGGGUAAAAGACAGUAACACCAGAAUACCAAGGCUGAUGGGGUCUAGCCACCAGUGAUGGACUCAAGAGAGGGACGAGGGCACAGCAGCAUGAGAGCCAGGGUCCCUUUUCACCGAGUCUACGGGCAGUGGCUAAGGAAUCUUAUGUCAGAAGACGGCUGGACCAAGGCAUUCCACUGCCCACGCUUUGCUUGUAUGUGACCUGGACUCUCCUCUGAAGCAGAUGCAUCUGUCCCCCCCGCCCUCUUACCUACCUGUGGGCUUCUGAUGACUGCGAUCCGGAAGUUGUGGUGAAGCAAUUCCAUGUCACACGCGAGGCUGCUUGCCACGCUCGGUUCGGCGUCCUCCUCACUUACCACGGCACUGAAGCUUCGAGCCGCAGGCUGCCGUGCUGCGGUGGUGUGAACACGGGUUUUCCCGCCAAAAUUCAUGUGGGAGGUUGAAUGAACUUUCACCUUGACUGUCACUGUGGCGGUACUUGGAGGCGGUGCUUAGGACAGUUAACUAGGCCACGAAAGGUGAUCAAGACCUUUUCUGCAUGAGUGGGAUCUCCCCCCGUGGGAUCAAUGUGGGAGAACACAGUAAAAACCAGGGCAAACCCUUAAGUUUUGUUUCUUCUGUAUGAGCCUCUUGCCCCCCCCCCACUUUCUUAAAUGACUCUGCAUGUGUGUGUGUGUGUGUGUGUGUGUGUGUGUGUGUGACUAUGAUGCACGUUUGCACGUUUACUACUGUGAGCAUGUAUGUGGAGGUUAGAAAUUAGUUCUUUCCUUCACUGUGGGUUCUGAAUGUCAAUCGACUUUGCUCAGCAGACCUUUCACCCUCUCCAUGGCCCGGCUCCGCCACUUCUCAAGAGGUUGAAGCGUUUUCCAUCCUCACUGGCUUCGUGCUCUUGGAAACUGUGAGCCAAACGAGACGAUUUUCUUAUGUGUUGCUUAGUGGUAGAUAUUUUUUAUAGCAGCUGAAGAUAGACCAAGACACGUGUGAAGGACCGAAGACUGCCGACACUCUGUGCUAGUCACGGGAAUGACUGUGGGCAGGUGCUCUGUUCUAAUCCCACAAGGGAGACCCCGCUCUGACAAGAAAUGCCUGGUCGUCAUGUCACCCGGUGUUGACCUCUAAAGGAGUCCUUUCUCUGGCUGACAGGCUUUGAGUCUCCACAGGUAAAGGUCACAGUGGGGAGCCAUCUCUGACUUCCUGAUGCCAAGUGUCACAAAGGACGAGUAAUGGCUGCCCGAAACUGCUACAGAUCUGGGUAGUUUGCUGUGAGUGUAUGACCGAUUAGCAGCCCAGAGCGGCUGGACUGAAGCCAGGAGGGGGUUAAAUUAGAGCCGGAGAGACGAAAGGAUAACAGAAUGCGAGAGCAGGCAAAUUUGUCUCAGCAGAGGCUCUCUCCAGGCCCUCCUCUCAUCCCCAGAAUGUCUGGGCGAAUAGAGAGCAUCAGUGUUCUCAAGGUGUCUGCAGUCUCCAGAACUACAGACAGGCACCUCCUCCUGAGAGCCCCUGCUGUGAUUCCCUCUCCACUCCAAACUGCUUUAGCUUGACUGGCAAAUCCCUUAGGAGCUGGAGGCAAGAGGGAAGGUGCGUGUGAGCAGGAAGGAGACCUGGAUCUCUGGCUUCUGCCACCCACUAAGCUAGCUCUCGGUUUUUGCUAAAACAGAAUCUUGCAUGGCAACCUCAAGAUACCCAUCCCCUCCUGAAUGUUCUGCAAAGGCUACCAGCUGACCCUCUAACUCAGUAGCCCCACGUCUCACCUGGCUGCAGACACGAGCUGAGUGCCAAUUAUGGGUGGAGGUAGUGUUGGCCAAGGUGGUUUUCUGAGCACCAUCCAAAGUCACUUUUGAUUCAGAGCUGCUUGACAAUGGAUGCAAAAGGCCCUGUCUGUGAAAGGAGGGUUUACAGAAGGCAGGGUUUGCCUGCCUAGUCACCCCAGUGGGCAAACCAGCUUAGGCAGUUGUCUCCCAGCUGAGAAGGACUCAUGCUGCAUUCUGAGGCACGGUGCCAACCUCUUUCAGGGGACGAUGAACUUGCCUCUUAAUUCUUUCAAAAAAAGAAAAGACAACUACCGCAUUCUGGGGUCUCACUGUCCUUGAAGCUUUUCCUGAUGUGUCACCCAAGAGAAGCUGGGCACGCUCACUCAUUACUGCCUGGCAGCAGUGACAAAAGGAGGCUAACUUGUACCAUGGACAAGAGGAUCUUUCAAGAACUUCUCAUUGUAAAUCAACUUUGAGAGUGCUUUGCCAACUAGAGCCUUGGGAAAGGCAGUCCAACUCAGCAAUUCCCUUCUCCUAACAGGCUAUUCACAAAUUCCUGAGCCUCUCAGAGCCCAGAAAUAUGCAGCUAAUUCCUUCCACACAGCCUGAAACCCAUCUCAAGGUCUAACGAACUUAUCAAAGUGUGUGAGCUGGUGCCACCUUUCGGGCAUUUGUGGUACUGCAGCCUGGCUCUGUUAUAAGUAAAUGUCCAGACCUAAAGUAAAGCAUCAUAGAGUCAAGAGAUCCAGUGUGGUUUUUUUUAAUCUUUACAUGAACAUUAGGUGUCAUUAUUUCAUGGGGGAGAGGACUGGGGUUCUUAGCGUUGGAGACAUGUGGUCAUGUUGGUCAUGGAGAUGUGUGAGGAGAUGAAGACAACUGAUUUACAGAAAUGUCUUUGAAAAAUUCUCUGUGUAGAAGAAACGGAUCCAGUCCUUAGUCCCUUUAUCUUCCAGGCGAGAUGCUCCAGGAAGAGCACUGCCUGUGCAGAAGGGUGGGGCUUGCAAUGUCUGCGCAGAAGGGUGGGGUUUGCUUGCUGGGAGGUGUGAGCUGUCUUGUUUGCAGACAGCCGGGAUGGUGGGCUCACCCUUCAGAGUGUAGACGGGGCCAGAAAGGAGCUGCAAAGCGUUCAUGCGCUGUGUCAUUCUCAGGAAUACUGAGGCAUUCACACUUCACAGUGGAGAGUAAGGAGAGGCAACGAUAAAGCGGAAGCAGCCACUCGGCGUGCCCACAAGGGGCAGGCGCAUGCGCUGUCCUCAUGAUGCCUCCUGAGAAGGCUGUUCCUUUUGCUUUGGAGUAAAGGAAGUUUAGCGGGCCAGGGUGGUGACUGGACUGAAUUCACACAUCUUAUAGGAGAAAAGGGGUGGGUUUAAACUCAGGCCUUCCUGAGGUCGCUUCUGCGAGGUCCCUACGCUACCCCAUUUCUUCCUUCUUGCCGUCACCGAGAACUCUGAGGUCACAAGAAUAAAGACACUUGUCCUACAGAGCAAUGAGUACUGUGCCGGAGCAAAGGCAACGUGGAGAACAAAUAAUCCUGAGAGAAGCUAAAAACAUGACGUUGGCCGAAGAAGGCUAGUUGUGUAGUGGGUCCUAGGGUUCAGGGAAGACUCUUGCUGGGCAGUGGCCCCAGCUGUUCCUCAUCUGAAUGAAAGAAGAGGAGCUUGGCUGGUGCAGCAGCCUGCAGGUGUCUGUAUGGGAGGAUUUCCUGAUCUUGGAAUGGGUCAAAGACCGAAAAGGGGCUUGCUCGCUGGGAGGUGUGAGCUGUCUUGUUUGCAGUACAAAUGCACACAAACACGGAGUCCAGUUGUCUUGACGUGGGAGCCUUAGAGAGGCCAAUGUCUUUCUUACUAAUGGGACUCACUGGCUGUAGCCCUCAACACUGUGUCUAUGACACAGACACGUGGAGCUGCGAGGGAACGGUGGUGAGACCCCAGACAGUCAGCCCUGACUACAGUGCUGGAGAGAUAAUACCUCCACAUUGUCUUUCACUACUAAAUAGUGACCGAUCUGAACAAGCACAGGGCGCUUGUGUUGGAGUAGCUACUAGGGCCAUGUCACAGGCUCUGCCCCAGGAUGGGCAAAUUGUCUAACUUCUAUGAGGCUCGGUCUCUUGGCCUAGAAACCUGAUCUAACAGUGUGCUUGCCUAACUGUGAAGCCACGACUUCAUCCCCAGGGUCUCAGAGAACCAAACCAACAAAACACUAGGCUAAUCCCAGGGCCCGGAAUCAGUCAGGACUUCUACAGAGAAGGCCUCGCAUCAGCUCGGUGGUUCUCGAAGAUGGCCUGACAUGUUCUUGAUGCUUGAUAGCCCAGGCCCUACUCCCCAAUCUCUAGCGUUCACACAAGUCUAAACAAGCUCCCCUUUCUGAGAGCAAAGGCGUUGGUUUUGAGUUCUUUGAUGAAUCCUGCAAGAUUACUCUAUCAAACUUAGUCAAGGGAACUACUUACAGCUGUAAGGGGUUCGGGGUGGUAGUGAAGCCUCUCCCACCCCAGGCCUGUCAGCCCAGCUGGACCUUCUAGAGCAAGGGUUACUCACUGUCCCCUUGGGCCAAUCUAUCUAGUCAAUGUUGCCUGGUUGCAUUUGGCCCUUCUAGGUCACUUGUCCAUCUAGACACAGAUUCCACAGAGACUCUGGCUUUCAACUUCAAGCCCUCUGCUGACUUCCCGUGGCUUCAGCCAAGUCCCUUAAUCUUCCCAAGCCUCUCUUGCCUCACCCAUGAAGUGGGAUUGAAAGCCUCGGGGCUCUGUGGUAUGCUUGGAAUUGGAUUACGCAAAGCACCUGGCACAGGGCCCCUGUGGGGUGAGUGUUGAGAACCCCGCAGUGUGGAGGGGCUGUUUCCUCACUCCAGGCCCUGGCUGAGCCACGUGAGGGCACAGCUGGCUCCCCACACGCAAAGGUUGCCCCCCUUCUCUCUUUUUUUUUAUUGUAUUUAUUUAUUUUACUUUUCAAGACUGCAAAACUAGUGUACCUUUGAUAGAACCCACAUCGCUUAUGUUUUUGGUUGUGAGCCUAGCCUUUAAUGGCUGAGCCUUCUCUCCAGCUCUAGGACCCAUAUCUCAAACCUGGGCUUUUGAUCUUCCCCUGGGAUCUCCUGGGAUCGCCCCUGUACACUUCUCUGGCGUGGUGCAGGCUGCAGCCAGUCACUGGCUAUCAGGGGAAAAACUCAGUCACAGCCUGCUGGGUGACUCAGCUGAGGUGUGAAGCAGGUACAGCUUCUUCAACUGAGGGAGGUUGUGGUUUCCUGUGGCUUUACAAUACAUCACCUGCCCUUCAUGAGCCCAAGAGACCUAGGCUUUAUCAGACAAUGCCUCCCAUCCCCAAGAUCCUUCUCUAGCUGAGUUUAGAUCAUAUGUAUACCAGUCUAGCCUUGAACUUAGCCGAGAAGGGUCUUGAGCUCUUGAUCCUCUGCCUUCUGAGUGCUGGGGUUACAGUUGUGUAUCCUGCUGCCUGGUUUUAUGUUAGGUCGUAGGUGAGAUCCAGGCAAAGUAAGCAUUCAAGCUACACCCCUGCUCUGUAUCUAUCUCUUCUUGCCUUGGCUUCUGGUGAAAAGUCAAUGAAAUCUCUUACCUCAGUUUCUCUGAAGUAGCCAAUUGGGUAUGGGGGCGUGGCCACGGGCAAAACUUAUUCUGCAGGCCAACACGUGGGAGGCAUUUAGAGGCUUGCUUAGCAAGGCAAGCCAAGGUUUCUUCAACGUCCGUGUUGUUGAUAUUUGAGACAGGUUGCUUACUUGUUCUGGAUGGGGGAUUCCAACAGCACCCCCUCUCCUGUCCAUGUUCCACCCCAGGACGACCCAAAACAAAUCCAGAUAUCUGAACUCGGCAAGUAUGCAUGGGGGCUGGGGGUGGGGAUGGCGAGUCUCUGUGAGUCACUGGAUUCAGCUGUGACAUGGGUGUGUUUUAGGCCCCCAGCCUCCUGUUACCUGUCUACCAGAACGUAGGAGAGAACAGAGUUUCACUCCCAUCGGCCUUUCAACCUGAUUGUAUCAGCAGGUGGCUAAGCAGGAGGCCCACGUCAGCUUCUCCACCACGAGCAAGAAACAGGCAGAGAGAGACAGAGACACAGAAAGGGGUGGGUGAGGGGAGAAACUGAAGCAGGAGCUAGCUAGAAGUGAUGGACUUGAUGAACUGUUCAGAAGAGGUCAUGCUGAAACAGAGGGAAGUGACUGAGAGACUAUCCUGUGCUUAAGAAAUCCCUGGACCAGACAGCCAGCAGGCAAUUAUCAAUGGCAUCUCCAUAUCAAUUGUGGGGGACUUCCCUGCAGGAAGGGCAUAUAAUCCUCAUACAGAAACCACACGUUUUACCUUCUUCAUCUCCUUCCCUGCCAGUCACUCACUACCCACUGUCCUGGAGCAUCCUUUCCUGCCCAGAGGCUCUGCCCAGGUCAUCCACUGCUCACGAGUUGUUCCAGUUAGGUCCAGGGCCCCGCAGCCCAGGCUGGACCCGAGAUGCAUGAAACCAGAACUAAGGCACCAUCUCUACCUCUAGGAGAUGCCAACGGGUGUAAUCAUUGCCUCCUCCGAGGCUGCCUUUGCCUUGGUGCCAGGGCAAGAGCUGUCUGUCUCGCCACCUUUCAGCUCUUGUUAAAACGCAGAAGCCAUGGCCGGGCCUGCAGGGCCACAGACAGAGAGCGCUUUCUUUGCAGCAGCUGGGUGGGGCUCAAGGCUGUUAUUAGCCCCAGCUGGCGUCCCGCUUUUCCUGAGCUGGAAUAAAAAAUUGCCUUGGUCAUCUUUCCCAGGCUAAUUUCAAAAACAUAAUCACCGUCAUCAUAAUUGAUUACUGUUUAUUUUGGUCAUUAAUUGGUAUGCACCCCCUUGUUACACGAGAAUUAAACGGUCCAAGGAUAUUUAGGGCCUGUGAAAGAUGUCUGUGUCUCCCCUCAUUCCACACAGAUCCCUACAGCCCUUGUGCCCCAGGUACCCCCUGGAUUCAACCACACCCAGAGACUGGUGUUCACGGUAAGGUGAACCGGUCAUCGGUGGGAUGAGAAGUUGGGAGAGGCAGGGAAGGAAUUGAAGCUGUCCUAUCUCGGCUGACAAGGGACAAGGGUGUUCCAACCUUCGAACUUGUGCUGAGGGUGAGAGGCAGAGGAAAAGGUUCUGGAAUGGGAAUGCCUUAGUUCACAGCCACCUUCGUCAGCUAGAACAAUUGUACUUCCACAAGAUGCUGCUGUUAGGCAUGAAGCCCCUGGAACGUUCUGGAGGUCACAGCAAUGGAGGCAAAUCAGCAAGCCUUGAAAGCUUGAAUUUUCCAGAGGCUAGGCUUUCAUACCCCCUGCCACCUGCUAUUUCAAGAUGGUGGGAUGGGGUAGAGUGACACAGGCUAAACCAAUCUAGUGCCCCCUCCCUCCAGCUGGCUAGUUUCUCUAUUAGUGGGAAAAGAUCCGCCCCCGGCCACACACACACUCCAAUGAGCCAGUCAGAAUCCUUCUCCAAAAGUUUUGGAGCUGGGACCAGUAAGUUGUCCUGAUGUUUGAAAAAAAAAAAAUCACUUACAGACAGUCCUGACAAUGAACAGGGCAGGUCAGUUUCUGUCAGGUGGGAGGCAGCCAAGGAUAAAGAAAAACCACCUUAGUGUCUUUUGUGACCUUGCUUCUGGUUAGUCUUGAAGCUUGCAUAUGGUCACUGUGCGUGUGUGUGUGUGUGUGUGCAUGUGUGUGCGCGUGUGUACCUGUGUGUGUGUGAGAUCCCUUCUGGCGUCGUGCAGUAUGACCUGACAGCUGGACAGGUGACUCUAUCUGGUAACAUGUCUGUCCUUUCUUUACUGUAUUCAGGAAUACCCCAGUUUCUGCCCCUAGUCCCCCUUUUACCCAAUGCAGCUGAAAUUGAAUUUAUGCCCCUUACUUCAAGUAAAACCUGAGUAGUAUGACAAGAAUAAUUAUCUAUAUCUGAUCUAUAUCUAUAUCUGUAUCUAAUCUAUAUCUAUAUUUAAUCUAUACCUAUACAUAUACCUAUAUCCAUAUUUAUAUCUAAUAUCUCUAUA
Rattus norvegicus (Norway rat) is the source of this 18111-nucleotide non-coding RNA. The record is from RefSeq and is a predicted model, not a curated record. Lineage: Eukaryota; Metazoa; Chordata; Mammalia; Rodentia; Muridae.